RNAcentral lists this ribosomal RNA (529 nucleotides) under Pentaphlebia stahli. RNAcentral's name for it is "partial 16S ribosomal RNA". It matches the Rfam family "Bacterial large subunit ribosomal RNA", at positions 1831 to 2619 of the family's 2925-position model. Lineage: Eukaryota; Metazoa; Arthropoda; Insecta; Odonata; Pentaphlebiidae. The record is from RNAcentral.
GUCCUCUCGUUUAUUUGUGAGGUCUGACCUGCCCAGUGAUUUAGUUUAACGGCCGCGGUAUUUUGACCGUGCAAAGGUAGCAUAAUCAUUAGUCUUUUAAUAGAAGGCUGGAAUGAAGGGUUUGACGAGACAUUAACUGUCUCACUAUUAUAUUUUAUAAUUUAACUUUUAAGUUAAAAGGCUUAAAUUUUGUUGGAAGACGAGAAGACCCUAUAGAGCUUUAUAAUUAAAAGUUUAAUUUUUAUUUUUGUUUAGUUUAAUUAUUCUUUUAAUUAUUUUGUUGGGGUGACAGUAAAAUAAAUUUAACUUUUAUUAAAUAUUGUUCAUUUAUUUAUGUUUUAUUUGAUCCUUUAUUAUGGAUUAUUAGAUCAAGUUACCUUAGGGAUAACAGCGUAAUCUUCUUUUGAAGUUCUAAUUUGCGAGAAGGCUUGCGACCUCGAUGUUGGAUUAAGAUAAUGGUUAGGUGCAGUAGCUUAACUAAUAGGUCUGUUCGACCUUUAAACUCUUACAUGAUCUGAGUUCAGACCGG